GACGAACGCUGGCGGCGUGCUUAACACAUGCAAGUCGAACGGAAAGGCCCUGCUUUUGUGUGUUUCUCGAGUGGCGCACGGGUGAGUAACACGUGAGUAACCUGCCCUUGACUUUGUGAUAACUUCAGGAAACUGCGGCUCAUACCGGAUAGGAUCUCCUGCUGCGUGUUGGGGGUUGGAAAGUUUCGGCGGUUUUGGAUAGACUCGCUGGUUAUGAGCUUGUUGGUGUGGUAGUUAAUUAACAAGGUUUUGAAGGGUAGCCGGCCUGAGAGGGUGACCGGCCACAUUAGUACUGAGAUACGGCCCAGAAUCCUACGUGAGGCAGCAGUCGAGAAUAUUACACAAUGAGCGGAAGCCUGAUGCAACAACGCCGCGUUCGUAAUGACGUCCUUCUGGUUAUAAACAGAUUUCGACUUUAACGAAGCGUGAUUGACGGUAAUGAGUAAAAAAGCACCGGCUAACUACGUG
RNAcentral lists this ribosomal RNA (468 nucleotides) under uncultured bacterium. Its description in RNAcentral is "partial 16S ribosomal RNA". It matches the Rfam family "Bacterial small subunit ribosomal RNA", at positions 28 to 507 of the family's 1533-position model. The record is from RNAcentral.